Molecule: ribosomal RNA, 256 nt
Filed under: uncultured prokaryote
Description: partial 16S ribosomal RNA
Rfam family: Bacterial small subunit ribosomal RNA
Source: RNAcentral
UAAUACGUAGGGACCGAGCGUUGUCCGGAAUCAUUGGGCGUAAAGAGCGUGUAGGCGGCCACUUAAGUCCUGCGUGAAAUCCUGCGGCUCAACCGCAGGCGGUCGUGGGAAACUGGGUGGCUAGAGUGCGGGAGAGGAGAGUGGAAUUCCUGGUGUAGCGGUGGAAUGCGCAGAUAUCAGGAAGAACACCCGUGGCGAAGGCGGCUCUCUGGAACGCAACUGACGCUGAGACGCGAAAGCGUGGGGAGCAAACAGG